AUGGCCAGCACCUCCCAUGCUGCCUCCCAGCACCCAAGUUCCCCUGGGCAGGUUGAUCCCAGCACCAGGAGCAGGCAGCACAGACCAGGGACACGCCACUGUGCUGUCCUGCCUGGAGGCCACCUCUCCCUGCAGCACCACCAGGAGGAGCAGCUAUGGAGAAAUGACUUUUAUUGCCGAGGAACCAACUCACACCAAGCUGUGCUCCAGGCUGCGGUACUCCGAACCGGGCUCCCCCCGUUUCUCCAGCUCCCUGGGGACGAGGGCCCCCACGACAGCCUGCAGCUCAGCCUGGAAGGGGCACUGCCGCCUCGGCCGCCGGCGUCUCCGCUGUCCCCUGCGCAGGCGCCACACGGCCAAGCCCAGGGCCAGCACGCUCCCCACGAGGGCCGCCGCCACCACAGCACUGCCCAGCAGGGCCAGCCCAGCCAGCAGCAGCUUCUUCACCGUACGGCACGGCGCUGGGGGGACAACAGGGUCAGGGGUGGCUUGGGCACCGAGGACAGAGAUGAGCCUCCAGGGCUUCCCGGUCCUGGGUGUCCCUGCUCCCCCCAGGUGGGGAACAUCGGGCACCAGAUGGUUGGGUUGGUUUGGGGCCAUGGGGAGAAGUUCGGGGUUGGCUGCUCACCUUCAUACCACGGCUCCAGGUCCUGCACCAGAAGUGGGCCAGCCGUCACCUGGUGGAGCAUCCCCUCUCCUGGGAACUCUGCGGGUGGACACAGCCCAUGCAGCUCCCCUCUGGUCCCAGGACACCCAAAGCCACCGAGCAGCCAUGGGCCCCCAGGGCAGGUGCCUACCUGGCUGCUGUCCAGGUGGGGUGUCACCAGGGGGACACCUGGUGUCACAGCAGUCACACAGGGCACUCUGGGAAGGGUCCUCUGCAUUGUGCCACCUGGGAGGGAAGGACAGAGCUGGGGGUCCCUGCGACCCCAGCACCCACCCAAGACCCAUGUGGUGUCAUGUCCUCUGUCCCUUUGGGUCUUGGCCACCCCAGAGGGGUCUUUGUGCAUGAGCAGGGAUUCAGAGGGACCCAAGGGGUGGGGGGGGUGGCAUCCAGACCACCAUGGGGUGGCUUGGUGCCAUGGAUGUGUCCCCUGGCCCCAGAAGGGCACCAGUGGCUUCUGUUCCCAAAGCACCCAUGGGUGCUCUGGUCCCUGCCCAGCUCCUUGGUGCCAGCGGGGAACCCACACCGAUGCAGAGCUCACCUGGCUGCGGCUUCACUGUAGAAGCAGGACCUCAGGCUGUGCCUCUGGGCACCCCAUGCCGUCAGCAGGCAGUGCACGUAGACCUGCUGGGACACCGGCCGUCCUCACUGCCACCUCCAGGCAGCCCACCCUUCCUGGGGGCCUUCCCUUCCCUCCCACCUCCGCAUCCUCCCCAUGGCUUCAGGCCUCCCCACCUGGGAGCAGGGGAGGGCAGCAGGAAUGCCCACAGAGGGACAAUGCCUUGGGGACACCCAGGUCACCCCAAGGAGGUGACCCACCACCAGGAAGCCUGCUCCACCCCAACCUCACCUCCUCCUCAGGCUCAACCUCCAGCACAGGGGCCAGGAUGGAGAACUGGAGGACAGACGCCCCUCUCUGGUGCUGGACAGACACACUCCCCAGACUCGGGCCAUGCAGACACCUGGGGAGACCCAGGAACAAGUCAGGGACAUUUCCAGGCUGA
Long non-coding RNA from Anser cygnoides (Swan goose), 1668 nucleotides. NCBI's taxonomy places the organism in Eukaryota, Metazoa, Chordata, Aves, Anseriformes, Anatidae. The record is from Ensembl.